UGGGGAAUCUUGGACAAUGGGCGCAAGCCUGAUCCAGCCAUGCCGCGUGGAUGAUGAAGGCCUUAGGGUUGUAAAAUCCUUUCGUGGGGGACGAUAAUGACGGUACCCCAAGAAGAAGCUCCGGCUAACUUCGUGCCAGCAGCCGCGGUAAUACGAAGGGGGCUAGCGUUGUUCGGAUUUACUGGGCGUAAAGCGCGUGUAGGCGGGUCGUUAAGUUGGGGGUGAAAUCCCGAGGCUCAACCUCGGAACUGCCUUCAAAACUGGCGACCUGGACUCAAGCAGAGGCAAGUGGAAUUGCGAGUGUAGAGGUGAAAUUCGUAGAUAUUCGCAGGAACACCAGUGGCGAAGGCGACUUGCUGGGCUUGUAGUGACGCUGAGACGCGAAAGCGUGGGGAGCAAACAGGAUUAGAUACCCCCGUAAUCCCUGAGCGGGCUGGCAAGGCGCAU
Molecule: ribosomal RNA, 447 nt
Filed under: uncultured bacterium
Lineage: Bacteria
Description: bacterial SSU rRNA
Rfam family: Bacterial small subunit ribosomal RNA
Source: RNAcentral